GAGGAGAUGGGUGAGGGAAAUGUGAUACAGGUAACGUAACGGCCAACUCUGCCUGGUUCGAGUUCUUAAUCUGAUAAAAAGUCACAGAAAGGCGAAAGCCCUUAUCUUUUUGCUUCUUCUUCUUGUCCUUUCAUUCUAGGUUAUCACGGACAAUACACCGAGUUUCAAGACUGCUGGGAAGAUGCUUGAAGAGAAGAGGAACCUUUUCUGGACCCCAUGUGCUACAUACUGCAUAGAUCAGAUGCUCGACGAGUUUUCGA
RNAcentral lists this long non-coding RNA (260 nucleotides) under Linum usitatissimum (flax). RNAcentral's name for it is "long non-coding RNA (LUSI_LNC000641)". The record is from RNAcentral. Lineage: Eukaryota; Viridiplantae; Streptophyta; Magnoliopsida; Malpighiales; Linaceae.